AGCCCCGUAGUGUAGCGGCCAAUCAUUUCACCCUUUGGAGGUGAAGACCCAGGUUCAAAUCCUGGCGGGGCUA
This 73-nucleotide transfer RNA is filed under the name Nanobdellota archaeon. RNAcentral describes it as "tRNA-Gln". It matches the Rfam family "tRNA". From Rfam's summary of the family: Transfer RNA (tRNA) molecules are approximately 80 nucleotides in length. The record is from RNAcentral. Lineage: Archaea; Nanobdellati; Nanobdellota.